UGGGCGCAAGCCUGAUGCAGCGACGCCGUGUGAGGGAUGGAGGCCUUCGGGUUGUGAACCUCUUUCGCCAGUGAAGCAGGCCUGUCCCUGUGUGGGUGGGUUGACGGUAGCUGGAUAAGAAGCGCCGGCUAACUACGUGCCAGCAGCCGCGGUAAU
Molecule: ribosomal RNA, 156 nt
Filed under: uncultured Actinomyces sp.
Lineage: Bacteria; Bacillati; Actinomycetota; Actinomycetes; Actinomycetales; Actinomycetaceae
Description: partial 16S ribosomal RNA
Rfam family: Bacterial small subunit ribosomal RNA
Source: RNAcentral